This is a long non-coding RNA of Bactrocera tryoni, 349 nucleotides long. RefSeq lists it as uncharacterized. NCBI's taxonomy places the organism in Eukaryota, Metazoa, Arthropoda, Insecta, Diptera, Tephritidae. The transcript has 2 exons. The record is from RefSeq and is a predicted model, not a curated record.
UCUGAGGAGUUCGAUGAAAAAUAUUUAAAUUUAAAUUUUAGUCUGCCAUCCAAAUUCCAUGCAACUUGUGAGAAUCCUGACCGAGCAGCGGCACUUCAAGCAGUGAUUAGUGAGCGUGUUUCGCAUUUGCGUGAAAUAUAUUUGCUCGGUCAUGGAAGAAAAGCUUGCUUUCACACUUCAUGCCAUCAGUACCAUACAUUCGGACUCAUUGAACUACUUUGCCACUCAUCAUCGAACAUUGAAUCGCAAAAAUAACGUUGGAAGACCUCAAACGCAGUCUCGGCCAUUGGACAAAAUUGUGAUUUUUCAUAGUUUAGGUUCAACGAAUAAAAAAAUACAAUAGACAAUA